This 497-nucleotide ribosomal RNA is filed under the name uncultured bacterium. Its description in RNAcentral is "partial 16S ribosomal RNA". It matches the Rfam family "Bacterial small subunit ribosomal RNA", at positions 28 to 507 of the family's 1533-position model. The record is from RNAcentral.
GAUGAACGCUGGCGGCGUGCCUAAUACAUGCAAGUCGAGCGAACAGACGAGGAGCUUGCUCCUCUAACGUUAGCGGCGGACGGGUGAGUAACACGUGGAUAACCUACCUAUAAGACUGGGAUAACUUCGGGAAACCGGAGCUAAUACCGGAGAAUAUAUUGAACCGCAUGGUUCAAUAGUGAAUGACGGUUUUGCUGUCACUUAUAGAUGGAUCCGCGUCGCAUUAGCUAGUUGGUAAGGUAACGGCCUACCAAGGCAACGAUGCGUAGCCGAUCUGAGAGGGUGAUCGGCCACACUGGAACUGAGACACGGUCCAGACUCCUACGGGAGGCAGCAGUAGGGAAUCUUCCGCAAUGGGCGAAAGCUUGACGGAGCCACGCCGCGUGAGUGAUGAAGGUCUUCGGAUCGUAAAACUCUGUUAUUAGGGAAGAACAAAUGUGUAAGUAACUAUGCACGUCUUGACGGUACCUAAACAGAAAGCCACGGCUAACUACGUG